This is a long non-coding RNA of Mauremys reevesii (Reeves's turtle), 276 nucleotides long. RefSeq lists it as uncharacterized. The transcript has 3 exons. The record is from RefSeq and is a predicted model, not a curated record. NCBI's taxonomy places the organism in Eukaryota, Metazoa, Chordata, Testudines, Geoemydidae.
GAAGUCCUGGCUGUCUGUGAUCAUGUAAGCACCCGAGGCACUCUUUAUGACAGAAAGGUUGUUAUCCCUGGUUUCCUGACCAAAUUCUAAUGCUGGGGACAUUUCAGCUGUUUUCUUGAUUAAGAGCCAUCCUAUAAUGGAGGAUCUUCAUUUCUCUUUCAUUUGAAUCAACCGUUUGCAGUUUAUCUGCGUCUUUCUGGUAAUGGGGUGGCUAGAACAGAAUGGAAUAUACAAUGGCAACAAGGCAGAGAGUGUUGAGAUCUGAAGACGCAAGAG